AUCCAAUGACAACUCACAAAUCAACAGUUGUUUUUUGUUCGAUCGCAAGUGGCUGCCAAAUGUAUCAAUUUAUACCAGGAUAUUACCAAGCAAGUCUUCCAAGUAUUUGAAUUUAAUUUAGGACUUGUAUUUCAGAAGAAAUGGUUCAACUUAUAACAGAACUUCUCCACACUUAGCAUGGACAUAUUUGACAAAAUUACAUAUCAGGUAUGCAUGAGCAAUCACCUGUUUAAGAAAAGACAAUCACUGUGCCCACCUAUUAAGCCUCCGUCUGAUGCGAUUUCACACAAGUGUACCCAGACAUCAAAGCUGACAUGGAAGACGACAUAAAACUUCAAAGAGAAUGCCUGUGGAUAUCUGGCUAUGACUGGCGAUAAACGAUAAAUGGCAACCUGUACACAUCUGAACAAGGGCGGGCAAAGAAAUGAAACGCCUUAACGAGUGUCACAACCUGACAGAGAACACCAUCAGUUUUGUAAUUAACUAUUUAACGACUGUGUUAUUACAUUAAAAAAGGAGGAAUGGUUGAUCUUAUUUAAUUAAUGUCUUCAGGACUAUAGUCAGUAAAGGAUAUCAAGGGGGGUCUGAAAAAGUGGACCCAUUUACCCUAUUUGAUGACUUAAGCUGAGAAAUGACAUGGAAUCCAUAUCAAACUUUGAUUUAGAACAGUUCUUUUCCAGCAAAAUGGGAGAUUUUUUUUUUUUUUUUUUGAAUACCACCCCUACCUACAGACAGUGAUUUUGCCAAGACAAUAUUUAUGAAUUCAUCAUUACUGCCUCUAAGUACUGUAAUCAACAUUUCAAAAAAGACUGAUUCACUUCA
This is a long non-coding RNA of Lingula anatina, 822 nucleotides long. Lineage: Eukaryota; Metazoa; Brachiopoda; Lingulata; Lingulida; Lingulidae. The record is from RefSeq and is a predicted model, not a curated record.